ACGGGCAUAGUCUAACGGUAGGAUAGAGGUCUCCAAAACCUUUGGUCUGGGUUCGAAUCCUAGUGCCCGUGCAA
RNAcentral lists this transfer RNA (74 nucleotides) under Sphingobacteriales bacterium 50-39. Its description in RNAcentral is "tRNA-Trp". It matches the Rfam family "tRNA". From Rfam's summary of the family: Transfer RNA (tRNA) molecules are approximately 80 nucleotides in length. Their secondary structure includes four short double-helical elements and three loops (D, anti-codon, and T loops). Lineage: Bacteria; Pseudomonadati; Bacteroidota; Sphingobacteriia; Sphingobacteriales. The record is from RNAcentral.